GCCUACGGGGCGCAGCAGUGGGGAAUAUUGGGCAAUGGGGGAAACCCUGACCCAGCGACGCCGCGUGAGGGAAGAAGGUUUUCGGAUUGUAAACCUCUGUCCUUGGUGACGAUAAUGACGGUAGCCAAGGAGGAAGCCACGGCUAACUACGUGCCAGCAGCCGCGGUAAUACGUAGGUGGCAAGCGUUGUCCGGAUUUACUGGGUGUAAAGGGCGUGUAGCCGGGCUGACAAGUCAGAUGUGAAAUCCGGGGGCUCAACCCCCGAACUGCAUUUGAAACUGUUGGUCUUGAGUAUCGGAGAGGCA
This 305-nucleotide ribosomal RNA is filed under the name uncultured bacterium. RNAcentral describes it as "bacterial SSU rRNA". It matches the Rfam family "Bacterial small subunit ribosomal RNA", at positions 337 to 659 of the family's 1533-position model. The record is from RNAcentral.